Molecule: ribosomal RNA, 311 nt
Filed under: uncultured bacterium
Lineage: Bacteria
Description: bacterial SSU rRNA
Rfam family: Bacterial small subunit ribosomal RNA
Source: RNAcentral
GACGAACGCUGGCGGCGCGCCUAACACAUGCAAGUCGAACGAGAGAGAGGAAGCUUGCUUCCUUAAUCGAGUGGCGAACGGGUGAGUAACGCGUGAGGAACCUGCCUCAAAGAGGGGGACAACAGUUGGAAACGACUGCUAAUACCGCAUAAGCCCACAGCUCGGCAUCGAGCAGAGGGAAAAGGAGUGAUUCGCUUUGAGAUGGCCUCGCGGCCUAUCAGCUUGUUGGUGGGGUAAUGGCUCACCAAGGCGUCGACGGGUAGCCGGCCUGAGAGGGUGACCGGCCACACUGGGACUGAGACACGGCCCAG